AAACUGCCUCUGGCUACUUGUUGCUUAAACACAACGCAGAAUGAGGACAAUGUUUUCUUCCACAAUAUGGUGCCGUGACUCGGAUGGCAACGCCCGAUUGAGGACAGCGACAGCGGCUGCAGACCGUCCCCCUUCACCCUCAGGGCGCCAAACGAGAGAUCAUCAGAAAGCGCUGGUACCAGCUGAAGAAAAACAACAAACAACAACAACAAAAAACCAGGGUUCUGUGUUAGGACGUAAUAAAUUUGUGUUCUGUCCAAGUUUGUCUUGUGUGUCUUAAUUGUAAUAUGUAUUGCAAAUAUUGUUGUAUGUAGGAUAUUUUUUUAAUGAAAGGAUAAUUUGAGUAAAGCAGAAGCAUUAAUUUAAACCAACAAAAUUAAUAAUUGGGCCCAAUCAAUUGGCAAUCAAUUGGCAACUCUAAACUUAAUGAAUUGGCAACUUUAAAAUUUAGUGAAAGGAUAAUAGUUUGGUAAUUGUUUAGGCUAGGAGAAUGUUAACAGUGUCUCCACAGGUGAACCAAAAAAAGGAACUGGAAAGAAGCAAGAAGUGCAUCAUGUGAACAGAAGGACUGGGAGUGGGGUAACAGCCCUCUCCCCCACCGGAUUGAUUUUGCUUUAAUGGCUACACAAAUGAAAUAUUUAGCUUCUGUAAAUUUGCACACCAACCAUAAAAGUGGUUUGGCCAGAGAUAAUAAGAAAUCUAUAAGAAACAACACGGGCAAGUGAGACAUCAGCAUAUGUAAGUAAAGAUGCCCACAAUAAAGAGGAAACUAGUAACCUCACCAUUGCAACAACAGCUACUUGCCCUGCUACUCAUUGGUGCCUGAUGCCUUAAAAGGCCUCAAGAAUUACGGAAUUGCAUGGGUUAUCAAUUAAACAUCUGUGAACCAUGCUUGGUCCUAUAAGAGAAACAGUGACUCUAGUCAACGUAACCUCCUUCAAGUCACAUACAUAGAAUAAAUACACGCUAAUAGCAAUGGGGAAUACACGGCCUUGGGCCGCCCCUCAUUCACACAGAAUUAUUUUGUUUUUUGUAACAACAUGAACACUACGAGGACAAAGAAUACACAGUCCUCUGAGUUAAAGUUUGUAUGGAAUAUUGUGGGAAAGAAGCUAAACACUAACAUCAGGCCAAAGGCCCACCUGGACAGGGCAUAGUAUAACCAUUUGUUUUUGGCCCCUCUGGGGAUUCCUCACUUAGAUCAGAUCAGAAUGGUAACCUCCCUGCCUGUACCAGAGCAGGAGAAUAUAGAGAGAGUUGAGGGCAUUGCUUAUUCUGAAGGAGUGGGAGCCUCCCUAUACCCAGGGAUUGUUGCACCCACUUUGAUAAGGAAAUUUUAUGUACCUGCCCAUUUAACAUCAUGACGAAUCUGCCUAGGUUUGAUGUGGUUGUCUCAGAGAAACAAAAACAUCGAGCUGGUCCAAAUAAAUGGUACCUACUGGUGUUUGAUUACCCAGACAGAUCACUCCAUCCUGCCCCUCUACAUAUCCGUCUGUGUGCAUAACAGCCCCUUGCCGGAUGAUCCUGACCGUUGAUGGAAUGCGGCUCUAUCACACUUCGGAGGAAAUAACCUUGGUUCCAAAGGAGCUAGCUGGCUUUUAGCUCAGAGAAUAGAGACUCUUAUGUCCAUCAGCGAAAGACCGCUCUAGAAAGACCUUUACCAAGUUUUGCUAGCCACCAACACCGCUGUGAUGUGCCAAGAACUGACUGUUGGCCAAUGAUUCUCACUGCAAAAAGACCCCUCCAUCUCGAAAUGAUCCUACCCCGACUGCUGAUAAGUCUCUCUUCUUCUGGUCCUGCUUUCCACCUGCUGGACACCAGAAGAACCAAAAUAUUACAGGGUGAUGUGCUGGUAACCUCUCCCCUGCAUGAUGCUGAACCACGACUGUUUCAAGAAAAAAAGAGGAAAAGUCGCUCCUGUGACACCGCCAAAGCCCAAUGAUUUCUGACUACAAAAGGACAUUAAGAACUGACCUUGGUGAAAGAAGCGAAGUAUUGUAUAUUGCCAAGGAGAAACUUGUGGGAGUGGUUUGGGUUUCUCCCUUUGAACUGGACUCUGUGCUUAUGGACAUGUACCGUCAGCAUGUACCUGCCCUCCCUAAUUUGGUUACUAAUUAUGAUAUAUUGUGUUAUGUUACUAAAAUUAUAGAACAGCCCCAUCAUAGAAUUAUAUUGGGGAUAUUAAUGAUUAUAUUGCUUUUGCUUAUUAAAGGUUUCAAAUUUGUUGUUGUAAAAGAUGUAGUAAUAAAAAUAGCUUUUAUGUUUGUACUAAUUAUGUAAUGUUUAAUGAAAAUAAAGGUUUAGAAAGGUAGUUGUGCUGUAAGCACAAAAGGGGGGAGUGCGGAGGCA
This is a non-coding RNA of Pelodiscus sinensis (Chinese soft-shelled turtle), 2349 nucleotides long. NCBI's taxonomy places the organism in Eukaryota, Metazoa, Chordata, Testudines, Trionychidae. The record is from RefSeq and is a predicted model, not a curated record.